UAUUAGGUUGGUGCAAAAGUAAUUGCGGGUUUUGCCAUUACUUUCAAUGGCAAGAACCACAAUUACUUUUGCACCAAUGUAAUA
Molecule: microRNA precursor, 84 nt
Organism: Gorilla gorilla gorilla (western lowland gorilla)
Lineage: Eukaryota; Metazoa; Chordata; Mammalia; Primates; Hominidae
Source: Ensembl